UGGUGUUGGACUCAAGCCUAUCUUCAUUGGGGAAUCUACAGGAUAGUUCCGCGUUCCCAAAAUGGUCAGGGCCAACCCCGGCUGAAGAAAUGUCAAGGGGAGCCGGGGGAUGCAGCACAAAACGCGAAAUCACUAUAGAUUUCAAAGGAUUCGUAGGUUGCUUCAGGCCUGCCUAGACGGCAUGGGGAAGCUGUCCACACCGUCUCCAACUUCAGAGGAAGGAGGACUCCAACUUGCCGUGAACUCUUGGAGCACAAACUGUGGCCUUUCUGGUUGGGUCCACCCUUGGACUUUCAUUCCUGGAGCCACAUGGCAGUAGGAUAGAUGAUUGAUGCUGCCUGGGCAUUGGUUUCCACUCUGGCCUUGUCUUUUCCUGACUUCCAUGCUCCUUGUCGAUCUGGGGUUUCCUAGGUCUUGCUCAAGGUCUUCCACAGAAAAUGUUUCCCAGUUCAUGGAGGACAACCCUCAUGGGGGUCCAUUGCAUGAGUGUUUUCUUCUAAACACUGUCACAUUUUAAUGACUGGGCAGCUGUGA
Non-coding RNA from Macaca mulatta (Rhesus monkey), 534 nucleotides. Lineage: Eukaryota; Metazoa; Chordata; Mammalia; Primates; Cercopithecidae. The record is from RefSeq and is a predicted model, not a curated record.